Clarias gariepinus (North African catfish) is the source of this 892-nucleotide long non-coding RNA. RefSeq lists it as uncharacterized. The transcript is spliced from 2 exons. The record is from RefSeq and is a predicted model, not a curated record. NCBI's taxonomy places the organism in Eukaryota, Metazoa, Chordata, Actinopteri, Siluriformes, Clariidae.
AUAAAAAAGUUUUUAUGAAUAAAAUAAAAUAUAAAUAAAAAUUAAAUAUAAAAAAAUAAUAUUAAUAAAAAUUAAAUAUAAAUAAAAAAUAAAUAUAAAUAAAAAAUAAAUAUAAAUAAAAAUGUUAUGAGAAUCUGUGAGUGCGCUGUGAGCAGAGCAGCAUGAGCAGUGUCAUAAACAAAAACAUUUUAAUUUCAUUUUAAUAUUUAAAGCAAAUCAAUAGAAGUCAGAUAUAUAUCAGUUUAAGAUAUAUAUUUUUAGACUUUUAUCCCUUUACAUUGAUUCUGAGUAGGCAUGGUCUGCACAAUAGGCAACUUUUGUUUCUCCAGACACCAUUCCACUUCACUUUUUUCCAGGCGGCUGCCCAGGAUGAUGUAACCUUAGCCUUUGCAACAACCUGUCUAGAAUAUCUGCAAGGUGAUACUGAUGGACUUCUGCAGUGUUUCCUUUUGCAUUCUGGACUGCCAAUGUAACUCAUCCUGAUGCCCUCUUGAUAUGUUCUUCUGAAGUGAAUGUUUCUUUUGAGAUGUUGCUAUUCAGAUGUUUUUAUCAAGAUGUCGCUAUCAAAGAUUCUCAAUACCAACAGAAUGUUGUUUUGUCGACGCAAAUGAGAAUGGGUUCCCUUUUGGGUCUAGUUCCUCCCAAGGUUUCUUCCUUGGAGAGUUUCUUGCAGUCAUCAUUAUUGCAACAUCACUGCCAUUACAUCUGCAUCUGUGUGAUGUUAUGACUUAUAUUGCACUUCCUCAUGUCAUCUCAGGAAUUCUUUCCUCGCCACCUUCAUCUUUGACUGGCUCAUUGGGACUCUCAGUCUGCAUGCAGAUUUCUAAGACAAUAUGCCUGUUUGAAAAGAAAUGCUUUUUCCCUGUUUAAGAAAUUAAACUUUGAACCAAAG